UAGUAUUCAAUUGUCAGAGGUGAUAUUCUUGGAUUUAUUGAAGACUAACUACUGCGAAAGCAUUUGCCAAGGAUGUUUUCAUUAAUCAAGAACGAAAGUUAGGGGAUCGAAGACGAUCAGAUACCGUCGUAGUCUUAACCAUAAACUAUGCCGACUAGGGAUCGGAUGAAGUUAAUUUUUUAAUGACUCA
This 190-nucleotide ribosomal RNA is filed under the name uncultured Glomeromycotina. RNAcentral describes it as "partial 18S ribosomal RNA". It matches the Rfam family "Eukaryotic small subunit ribosomal RNA", at positions 892 to 1078 of the family's 1831-position model. Lineage: Eukaryota; Fungi; Glomeromycota. The record is from RNAcentral.